CAGAAAUGUGAGAUGCUUUAUGAAUGGCGGGUACCUCCUGAUACAAGACGUGUGCAGAGAACAGAUCCUAUGGGGCAGAAGCAGCCUGACUGCUUCUUUAAUUCCAACGGGAGCUCCACUUGGAA
Molecule: long non-coding RNA, 125 nt
Organism: Lemur catta (Ring-tailed lemur)
Lineage: Eukaryota; Metazoa; Chordata; Mammalia; Primates; Lemuridae
Exons: 3
Source: RefSeq, a predicted model, not a curated record